This 823-nucleotide ribosomal RNA is filed under the name uncultured bacterium. Its description in RNAcentral is "bacterial SSU rRNA". It matches the Rfam family "Bacterial small subunit ribosomal RNA", at positions 52 to 884 of the family's 1533-position model. The record is from RNAcentral.
UACAUGCAAGUCGAACGAGGUGCUCAAGUAGCAAUACGAGAGUAUCCUAGUGGCGAACGGGUGAGUAACGCGUUGGUGACCUGCCCCAAAGUGUGGGAUAACAGUCCGAAAGGACUGCUAAUACCGCAUGUGGUCUUCGGAUCCAGAAACCGAUGACUAAGGGAGUAAUCCGCUUUGGGAGGGACCUGCGUCCCAUCAGCUAGUUGGUAGGGUAACGGCCUACCAAGGCUACGACGGGUAGGGGACCUGAGAGGGUGGCCCCCCACAAUGGAACUGAAACACGGUCCAUACACCUACGGGUGGCAGCAGUAGGGAAUAUUGCACAAUGGGCGAAAGCCUGAUGCAGCAACGCCGCGUGUGCGAAGAAGGCCUUCGGGUCGUAAAGCACUUUUCUGAGAGAUGAGAAAGGACAGUAUCUCAGGAAUAAGUCUCGGCUAACUACGUGCCAGCAGCCGCGGUAAAACGUAGGAGGCGAGCGUUAUCCGGAUUCACUGGGCGUAAAGCGCGUGCAGGCGGUUCGGUAAGUUGGGCGUGAAAUCUCCUGGCUCAACUAGGAGAGGUCGUUCAAUACUACCGGGCUAGAGAGCGGUAGAGGAAGAUGGAAUUCCCGGUGUAGUGGUGAAAUGCGUAGAUAUCGGGAGGAACACCAGUGGCGAAGGCGAUCUUCUGGACCGUUUCUGACGCUCAGACGCGACAGCUAGGGUAGCAAACGGGAUUAGAGACCCCGGUAGUCCUAGCCGUAAACGAUGUGAACUAGGCGUCGGUGGGUUAAACUCCAUCGGUGCCGCAGCUAACGCGAUAAGUUCACCGCCUGGGGACUACG